UAGGGAAUCUUCGGCAAUGGGGGAAACCCUGACCGAGCAACGCCGCGUGAGUGAAGAAGGUUUUCGGAUCGUAAAGCUCUGUUGUUAAGGAAGAACGAGUGUGAGAAUGGAAAGUUCAUACUGUGACGGUACUUAACCAGAAAGGGACGGCUAACUACGUGCCAGCAGCCGCGGUAAUACGUAGGUCCCGAGCGUUGUCCGGAUUUAUUGGGCGUAAAGCGAGCGCAGGCGGUUAGAUAAGUCUGAAGUUAAAGGCAGUGGCUCAACCAUUGUAGGCUUUGGAAACUGUUUAACUUGAGUGCAGAAGGGGAGAGUGGAAUUCCAUGUGUAGCGGUGAAAUGCGUAGAUAUAUGGAGGAACACCGGUGGCGAAAGCGGCUCUCUGGUCUGUAACUGACGCUGAGGCUCGAAAGCGUGGGGAGCGAACAGG
Molecule: ribosomal RNA, 429 nt
Filed under: Bacteroidota bacterium
Lineage: Bacteria; Pseudomonadati; Bacteroidota
Description: Bacteroidetes bacterium partial 16S ribosomal RNA
Rfam family: Bacterial small subunit ribosomal RNA
Source: RNAcentral